UCCUACGGGAGGCAGCAGUAGGGAAUCUUCCGCAAUGGACGAAAGUCUGACGGAGCAACGCCGCGUGAGUGAUGAAGGUUUUCGGAUCGUAAAGCUCUGUUGUUAGGGAAGAACAAGUGCGAGAGUAACUGCUCGCACCUUGACGGUACCUAACCAGAAAGCCACGGCUAACUACGUGCCAGCAGCCGCGGUAAUACGUAGGUGGCAAGCGUUGUCCGGAAUUAUUGGGCGUAAAGGGCUCGCAGGCGGUUUCUUAAGUCUGAUGUGAAGGUCCCCGGCUCAACCGGGGAGGGUCAUUGGAAACUGGGAAACUUGAGUGCAGAAGAGGAGAGUGGAAUUCCACGUGUAGCGGUGAAAUGCGUAGAGAUGUGGAGGAACACCAGUGGCGAAGGCGACUCUCUGGUCUGUAACUGACGCUGAGGAGCGAAAGCGUGGGGAGCGAACAGGAUUAGAUACCCUGGUAGUCCACGCCGUAAACGAUGAGUGCUAAGUGUUAGGGGGUUUCCGCCCCUUAGUGCUGCAGCUAACGCAUUAAGCACUCCGCCUGGGGAGUACGGUCGCAAGACUGAAACUCAAAUGAAUUGACGGA
RNAcentral lists this ribosomal RNA (589 nucleotides) under uncultured bacterium. RNAcentral's name for it is "bacterial SSU rRNA". It matches the Rfam family "Bacterial small subunit ribosomal RNA", at positions 337 to 917 of the family's 1533-position model. The record is from RNAcentral.